RNAcentral lists this unclassified non-coding RNA (514 nucleotides) under Hevea brasiliensis (rubber tree). Lineage: Eukaryota; Viridiplantae; Streptophyta; Magnoliopsida; Malpighiales; Euphorbiaceae. The record is from RNAcentral.
GUUUCUGAUCCAAGGCCAAAAUACUGUCUAAGAACACGACCCUGGCAUAUUCCACUGUUCCCUGCAAACUUAUAAUCUGAUCGUUGAUUGUUCUCAGUGGCUGAAGCUUUAUCUUUGCGUUGAUAGUAUCUAUCAACGACCCAGUGGUGAAGAUAAGUUUCAUGGAGGGGGACAGGAUUCCCAGACUCAUCAAUUACUUCAGCAUUAAAGCUCUUGAGAGCAAUAUGACCUCUUGGGAAGUCAACAUUGAAAUAAUUUCUGUUCUCAACUGAUCCUGGUCCCAAUACAAACUCAGGAGAGAGAAAAGUAGCGGAUUUGAUAUUAUGAUUUCCAUUUUCCAGAGGAUCUUGCGAACAAGAGAAGUUAAAUACAAGUAGCAAUAUUGCCAAUGAAAGUAAUGAACCUUGAGAACAAAGAGCCAUAUUCCCCAAAUUCAGUAGUUGCUGCCCUUUCAAAGUCGUACGUUGAUCAUACACUCAAAUUAUUUCUUCGUUUCUAGCAAGUGAACAUAAUC